This 332-nucleotide long non-coding RNA is filed under the name Elaeis guineensis (African oil palm). Its description in RNAcentral is "long non-coding RNA (EGUI_LNC037137)". Lineage: Eukaryota; Viridiplantae; Streptophyta; Magnoliopsida; Arecales; Arecaceae. The record is from RNAcentral.
AUCAACAAUGUUAUCUUGUUGUUCUAUGGAUGGUGAUCAGGGCUCUUAUUGGGCAUCUACUCAUAAACAAGUAGCAAGUCUUCAGUCUCUUUCUCAUGACAGUAGUUGAUGAGAUGCACUAGAUUGCAAUGCUGUACAUGGUUUAUGGUUAUGUUUUCACCAUAUUCAUAGCAAUGGUUAUGAUAUAACAACCAAUCAAUAAUAAGCCUCAAAAGACCAUUUAGUAACAUUUCUUUUGUAUGCCGACUUAGAGAUUUUAAAAGGAUGUCAACUUUUGGUCAAAUACCAAGAUACAAACUGGGAACAUUAUCUAUUGGUUGAUUUAUUUGGCC